This 254-nucleotide ribosomal RNA is filed under the name uncultured bacterium. RNAcentral's name for it is "partial 16S ribosomal RNA". It matches the Rfam family "Bacterial small subunit ribosomal RNA", at positions 524 to 776 of the family's 1533-position model. The record is from RNAcentral.
UACGGGGGGGGCAAGCGUUGUUCGGAAUUACUGGGCGUAAAGGGUGCGUAGGCGGCCACCGCAAGUCGACUGUGAAAUCUCCGGGCUUAACCCGGAAAGGUCAGCCGAUACUGCGGGGCUAGAGUGCAGAAGGGGCAACUGGAAUUCUCGGUGUAGCGGUGAAAUGCGUAGAUAUCGAGAGGAACACCUGCGGCGAAGGCGGGUUGCUGGGCUGACACUGACGCUGAUGCGCGAAAGCUAGGGGAGCGAACGGG